UCUGUGCUGGCCAUGCUGGCCGGGCCUCGUGGGGUCCAACAUAAACACACCUGAUCUAGAUUUGGUCAGCGUCAGGAGGCCCGAGGAGCGGCCAAGGAAUUAUCAGAGGAAUCCAAGGAUUGUUCCUUAUUUCGAAAGGCCUCACCUCGAAAUAACUCCUGCAUCGGAGGACUUGUAGGCAAGGGGAUCAGUGAAGAGUGAAGGUGUGUGACAUGCAGUUUCUGCUGAGAACUUGGCUCUGGGCCUUAGGAUACAGUCUGCUGGAGACAAUGUGCUUAAGUUUCUUAAGGUGGAAGCUAAGGUUGUUGAGUUUAGAUCUUUCCCUUCCCGCCCAAU
Rhinolophus ferrumequinum (greater horseshoe bat) is the source of this 336-nucleotide long non-coding RNA. RefSeq lists it as uncharacterized. The transcript has 3 exons. Lineage: Eukaryota; Metazoa; Chordata; Mammalia; Chiroptera; Rhinolophidae. The record is from RefSeq and is a predicted model, not a curated record.